This 471-nucleotide ribosomal RNA is filed under the name uncultured bacterium. Its description in RNAcentral is "partial 16S ribosomal RNA". It matches the Rfam family "Bacterial small subunit ribosomal RNA", at positions 355 to 816 of the family's 1533-position model. The record is from RNAcentral.
UGGGGAAUUUUGGACAAUGGGCGCAAGCCUGAUCCAGCCAUGCCGCGUGCGGGAAGAAGGCCUUCGGGUUGUAAACCGCUUUUGUCAGGGAAGAAAUCUUCUGAGUUAAUACCUCGGGAGGAUGACGGUACCUGAAGAAUAAGCACCGGCUAACUACGUGCCAGCAGCCGCGGUAAUACGCAGGGUGCAAGCGUUAAUCGGAAUUACUGGGCGUAAAGCGUGCGCAGGCGGUUUUGUAAGACAGAGGUGAAAUCCCCGGGCUCAACCUGGGAACUGCCUUUGUGACUGCAAGGCUUGAGUGCGGCAGAGGGGGAUGGAAUUCCGCGUGUAGCAGUGAAAUGCGUAGAUAUGCGGAGGAACACCGAUGGCGAAGGCAAUCCCCUGGGCCUGCACUGACGCUCAUGCACGAAAGCGUGGGGAGCAAAACAGGAUUAGAUACCCUGGUAGUCCACGCCCUAAAACGAUGUCAAC